CUAAAAAGAAACCGACUCUGAAUUUCGCGGAAACCGACUCUGGAUUUCGCCGACCAAGUUUGCUAUAUAUACCCACCCAACCCUCCUCAUAUAUCAUAACUUGCUUUUUAUUUUUUUUGUAAGAUUUUCUAUUCGGUACCGAUUGCUUUCAGAGAUUCAGGUUUUCUUUGUUACGAAUCGGAUAUGAUUUUGUUGAUGAUAUCUUUCAAUUCGUCCAUGAUUGCUUUCAGAGAUUCAGGUUUUCUUUGUUACAAAUCGGAUAUGAUUUUGUUGACUCUAUCUUGUAGAAAAGAGUUUUAAGCUUUCAGAGUUACGUUGAUUUAUGUUUAUACUUAUAAAUUAGGGUUUUGAUUUUUUCAAUACCUGGCGAUUUUUUUGGUUUUCUUUCAAGAAUUUGCAAAGGGAUUUCUGACUUAUAUGGUAUCUUGUAUACGUUUGCGACCAGUGAUCGCUCUGUUUUUAAGCUGUCAAGAGUUACAUGGAUUCAUGUUAAUACUUGCAAAUUAGGGUUUCUUUCAAUACCUUGGCGGUGAUUUUCUAGGUUUUGUUUCAAGAAAUUACAGGAAUUUCAGAAUUAUAUGGAUUUCUCUUGUAUACCUUGGUGAUAGAUCUGGUUUUCUUUGCUUUGAUAGCUCUGGUUUCAAGAAGCUGGUCAUCUUUUUUUGAGAAAUUGCAGAGGGAGACGGUAUUGAUUUAUUGUUUUAUCGUGUAUGACUCUUGUGAUCUCUCUGGUUUUCUAGGGGGUUAACCUAGGUUUCGUUCAAGUAGUGGUCAUUGUUUUUUGGAGAAAUUGCAGAGGGAGACGGUAUUGAUUUAUUGCUUUAUUUUGUAUUCCUCUUGUGGAAGAGAGUUUUCCUUUCAGAACUAUUCUGAGUUCAUGUUAAAAAUUUCAACUACAAGAAAAUUUCUGAGUCCUUGGCAGGGGUUUGAUUUGGCGAUAAGCUUCUUUUUUUUUGUUGUUUUGAAGAAGAAUUAUAGGGAUAGUUUUCUGCUUGUUUUAAUCAAUUCUAAUACUUGGCCUGUGACUGCUUGUAGGCUUUGGUUUUUAAGGGGACUAUAAAUUCUGGUUCACUCAGUAAGGGUUGAAACUUCCAUUGCAUCUCGUCUGGUUCAAUAUUUGGUAACAACCUCUUAUUGGUGUUGGCUUUCUGGGAAAUACGUAUCAUAAUAUUAGAUUGUUGCUGAUUGUGUCAUAGAAAGUGGGUAAGAAGAUAGUGUUCUUAGUCUGAAGUAUUCUGGAUUCAUAUUUAUCAACUGAGGUACAUAUACUUUUUCAGAAGUUGGAGACGUUCGUUUUGUAGUUCUGUGAGGACAAUUUUUUUUAUCAUUUUGAUCUUGAUAUGCGUACAGCAGUCAAAAUUGUUAAUAAUAAUAAAAAAUAAAAAUAAAAUCUUUUUGUUAUUCUAUUGAUUUCACGUUUUUCUUCUUUAAUAAGUCUUUCAAUAUUCUAUAGAUUUUGGUCCUCAGCAGCUAUGUUAAGGUGUUUGCAUCAUAGUUCUUUUGAUAAGAGUUUGAAAGGUUUGCAUCAUAGGUUUCAAUUACCAAGGAGCUAAUUUGUUCUGAAAGAUUUGCGUCAUAGUUCGUAACCUUAGAUUGUCCAACCAAGUCCAUUUUUCAGGCUGAAGUUUUUGCCAUUUUGGACUCAUAUUUGAGCUCUGAAUGACAUGCUUCUGUAUAAGUUGGAUUUUAUUGUUUUAUGUGGACAAUGUUUGAUUGUUUAUCUUGAUCUGUCUACAGGAGUGGAAACUGAUAUGGGAUUUCUUGUCCUUGAGCAGUCGAGUCUGUGUAGAAGUCUUAAAUCUUUCUCAAACUUAAACGGUGUAGACUACAACAAUAAGAAAACUCAUACUGGCUUGAAGUUUACAUUUUGCUUAUAAGUCCUUUAAUAUAGUGUUCCCACUAACUGUGAUAUUAUACUAUUCCUUGUUCAAUUUAUUUAUAGGUUUUGGUCCUCAAUAGCUGUUAUAAGGCAUUUGUUUUGGUGAAGUUGGCUUUCCUCGACUGAUUUGGUUCUUAUCUAUAGGAGCACAAUUACUUAUUGUGGGCUAGCUGGUAAUUAUCAGUUUUAAAAAGUUAGAUUAACAUUGUAUAAAAAAAAAUUUGUGCUUAAAAAAAAGUGGUGCUUCCAUUAUGUGUAUUUUAGGAUCCAUUUGUUCGGCUUUAACUAAUCCCAACAUUACUUGGCAUUUUUGUCCCAGUUCCUUUUUCUAACUGCCAUCUACAUGCACUUAUUACAACUUUUAAGAACCUAAGAUCGUUAAUUUUGUCAUUGGGCAGUCAUAUAAGAUAAGAGCUGCCAGCUUUAAAAAUGGUUGUUUGAAUGCCAGAAAAAUAUAAGAUUUACCUUGUAUGGAAGAGUUCUUCUAUUCAUUAUGCAACUUUUGCAAUUGUAGGUGCAUGUGAAAAAAUCUCAUUGGAAAUUUUUUUUGGUGCUUGGCAGCUUAAGUCUUGUUGUCUUGGUGGCAACUUAAGUGAUGGAGUUUAGUUUGGCGAUAAGAAAUCUUUUCUUUCUUGUUUUCUUUAUUCUCUCCUUCAAUCAUAUGAAUUAUAUGGAUAUUUUCCCUAUUGUUUUCUAAUAAUGGGCAAUAUAUGCUUUUUUUAGGAUUUGGUUUCCUUGAGGAUUAUAAAUUCCAGUCUCAAUCAACUAGGGUUCGAAAGUUCCAUUGAAAUUCUUGUCCUGCUUUCUAGUUUGACUUUAGUCAUUCUAUUUUGGCAAGCUUAUAUCUAAUUCGUAUGUGGUAAUACCUUUUAUCAGUGUGGGUAGUUCCUGUGGUGAUUUGCAUGAGUUGGGCUUUGAAUUUUCAUCAUAGUCAAUAUUGAUUUAUUGUCAUUGGCAGAUUGAUAAGAUAAGAUCUACAUGCCUUAAAAAUAACUGUUCUCUAAAUACAAGGGAAGUUUAGGUCUGUGCUUCCUUAUACCUCCUCUACAGGUUAGUUGGUUGGGUUUCAUAGUGAUGUAGUUUUCUCUUGUAUUGUUGGAUCAUGCUUUUGGGAUAGGAGGGUUUUGAUGAUUUUGUUACCCCUAAAUUAAUCUGUUUAAUAUGUGUAGGUAUGAUAUGUCUACUUGGGAUGGAGUUUGAUGAGGACCUAAGGCAAUAAUGUUUCUGCUUGUGUGUUUUUUAAGUUCGUUGGCCUGCAACUUCAUUUUGUUAUUUGUUGUCUAUUUCAUCAUCGAUGUCAUUUUUGUCAGUCUGCAACUAGAGGUUUAUUAUAUCUUGCUAUUUUUUGGUAGUAAGAAUUCUUGAAUCUUGAUGUAUCUACAGAUGGGGAAGUUGUGAUUUUACAAUCUUGAUGUUUCUACAGCAGGGGAAAUGGUGAUUUAGUUGUGCAACAAAGUGCAUAGAAGUCUUGAAUUUUUAUAUGAGGAUUAUGGCAAUAAUCUCUUUUUAUCAACUUAUCUCAUCAUUCUCUGCCCAACAUGUGAAGAUUAAUGUUUCUGCUUGAAUGUUUCUCUAGUUUGUGCUAAACAAUGGAGUUUCAUCAUGUCCUGCUAUCUAUUGCUAAUUCAAAGACUUUAAUCACGAUGUGUCCACAGGUGGAAAAAUUAUGAUUACUUUUUCAGCAAGAGUGUUAAAAGUCUUUUGAUUAUCAUCCUCUUUUGAUUUCACUUUUUUUUUACCCUUGAACAUGAUCUUGUCCGUUGUUUAAUUUUUUUUAUGGACUUUGUUUCUUUGCAGAUUUUUUAAGGCAUGUAUGUUGGAUCAAUGUCUACUUUUCUAGAUCAAUUUGAUCCUCUUUAUUAGGAGCCCAAAUAUGUAUAUUUUCUCUUCCCUUAUCGUUGUCUGGCACGUUAUUAUUUAUUUAUUGAUAAAUAAUGUAAGAACUUUUUAUUAAGGAAUAGCCAACCAAGUACAGUGGAAAUGUACUGUAGUGGCAGAAAUUAGUAACCCAAAUUACAAUGAUCAAGAAGAACAGGGAGGGACAAAGAAGUUCCUGAAGGUAAAACUUAGCUCCAUUCAAGGAGAAUAUGGAAGAAAAAGGACUAGAAGGUUAUUAUGUGUUUCAAGUAAUUAAAAUUCAAUCUGUAAAUUGUUGACUUUAAUGAACUCUAGCACUGCUCAUCACAAGUGUCCUGGUUCCUUUUUCUAUUGCCAUCAACUUGCACUCAUGACAACUUUAGAACUUUAGAUCAUUUUUUUCUAUUGCCAUCAACUUUGAUCUAUAUUGUGAAAAAUAAAUAAUAAAUUGUGAUUCAUUAUUGGGCAAUCAUUUAGGUUAAAUACUUGCAUUCUUUAAACAUGACUACUUUUUAAAUUCCAGAACAGUACGUGUAUGCUUCCUUGUCUCUUCUGUAUAGGUUUCAAAGUUAUAACUUCUAUGGAUGUGGUUUGUAUAGUUGGACUAUGUGGGGGUGAUAUUUUGGGGCUUAUGGCUUUGUUGCCCUAGUUCUUGUGUUUAAAAAUUUUCAUGUGGUAUAUCUACUUGGGUGGCAAAGUUUGAUGGGGGACCUCAGGUAAUAAGUCUCUUUAUGUCUUGAUUUCAUUAUUUUUUUUUUCUUAAUUUGAAGUUUGAAGUAUUGGAGUAAGAUAUGUAUGAGUUAGAAAAACAAUUUGUUGGAUUGACAUUGGGUUGAGAACAGGCUUUUAUUGCAGCUGUGUUUCAGUUUUUGCUUUUGAUCCAAAUGCUCCCUUAACUACUUGCUUGACCCUUAAAGAGGUUUUUGGUUUUCUGUUUUAUAUAUAUAUAUAUAUAUAUAUAUAUUUAUAUAUUUCUUUGUAAUCUUUAAAAAAAAAGGACUAAUUCUUUUAAUCUACAUUUUUAUUAUUGGAGAUUGGAUGUCUUGCUUGUCUACUUUGUCAGUUUUUUUAAUUUAAAUGGUGAUGCAUUUGUGGUACUUUAGUUAGGUUGAUUUUGUUUGGUUGCUUCUUGAUGAGACAUGCUUUUGUGUAGUCUUGCUCUUUAUGAUAUUUUUAAUUUUUUCCUUUAGAAGUAAAAUCUUAUAAUUUAUAAUUAUCCUAAACUAUGUAGCUGGAAUUCUGUUUUUCAUUUUGCUCAUGUAGGUAAUCUUUCAUGUGGCACUUGUACAUUUGUCUUGUAGUCUUGUUUCUAUUGAUGUUAUUUUGCUUGUAGUGGAACCUGGUUAUGUUGUGCUAGCAAGCUCUAUUUCUAGUUUGGCAAUAAACUCUCUUUUUCUUCCCCUUUGUUUUUCUCUCCUUCAAGCAUUAGAAUUUAAGGAUACAUUUUUUGUUGUUUUAAUUUUGUCUAAUACUUGGGUUUGUGACUGAAUUUCCUAGGUUUCAUUUUCGAGAAGGACUAUAAUUCUGAGUCUUGCGAAGUGAGGGUUUGAAAUUUCUAUUGCAAUUCUUCUUCCUUUCUCUUGCUGUCUGAUUUUAUUUUUGGUCAUUAGUGUUGGCAUCUUCAAUAAUGAAUUCACAGCUUAAUUUGGCAUACUUAUUAUUGCUGUAGUCCACAAUUAUAAUCGUAGUGUGUCUUGAAUGUGGUUUAUGACGGAAAGCUUUUGCUUUCUCUUCUCCUGGCAUUUGUGGGCUUUUUGGGAGUUACAUUGGUAUGCAUUGUAAUUUGUUAACUUGGAUUGUUCCCUUGCAAUUCUUCUUGUUUCUUUGUCUUCUCUUAUUUAAAUUUUGGUCAUUCAAUUUGAAUGUGGUAAUGCCUGUUGAUAUUGAGGAACAUGUAGAUUAACAAAGUUUUUGACCUUAAUAUGGUUGCCAGGGAAAAUAAUACAGCUUUUUUGGUUCAUCCUUUAACAUGAGUUAGGCUUUCUAGGAAUGACUUGGUGCAUGGUUUCUUUUUGAGGCAUUUGUCGAGGGACAGGUAGAUUAAGAACGGUCAAGGUAUGACUUCAUUCCAUUUAUUUAAUAGAUUUGGGUGCGUGGUUUAUUUAUUUUUUUAAAGGUGUUUAUUGCAGCAAGCUUCUGUAGAUCAUUUUUUUUUUUUUGCUACAAUUUUGUAGAUCAAUUUGUUUCUUCUAUUGGAGCAUAAAUAUGUAAAGUUUCCUUUCCCAUAUUGUUGGCUGGCUGGUAAUUAUGGGUCUAAAAUUUAGAACUCUUUUCUUGUUCUCUUGCUUUCACUUUUUGUGCAUACAUCUUUUAAUAUAUUGUUCCCUCAAAAGGAAUACUAGUUCCUUGUUCCUUGUUGCACCAAACUUCUAUAGAGAUCGAUUGAUGCUGAAUGUGGUUUAAUUUGGGGCCAUUUUAUGUUUGCAAGGACAUCGCUUAUUUGAAUGUGGUAAUCUCUUAUUGGUAUGGUGCAGGUAGAUUGAUGCUGAUCCUGUGGUUGCCCAGUAGAAUUCUUCAGGUUAUUGGUUUGUCCUAUGAUUGGCAUGACUUAAGCUUUUUGUGAAUCCAAUUCUUUCAGCUUACACAUUUGGUCUUAGCAUUAUUAUUUGUAAAAAUUCUGUGAAUCAAAUUCUUUUAAUGUGUGAGUGGUACACCAUGCCUUGCUCCAUGGGCUUAUAAGGCAUGCGUGGGGCACUUCUCCAACCGAUGUGAGACAAAGGUGUCAAGCCAAAAUGGCUACAAGGAAAAGCCCUUGGCCUGAGGUGAAAAUCCUGAAUUUUCACACUCGGGGAUGAGGACAAAUCUGUGCAGGCUUGGCUUUCCAAAGCAGACAAUGAGCUGAGUGUGCGUGGGAAAAAACCCCCACACUAUAUAUUUGGUUUUUGCAUCAUUAUUUGUUAAAAUUGUAUGUUGAUUGGUUGAUUUCCUGGUCAUAGAAAUGUUUGAAUAGAUGCCAUCCAUGUCCAACCAAGACUUCCCCCCCCCCCCCCCCCUUUCCUUAAAAAGAAAAAAAAAAAAACUGAAGUUUAAAAUGGGGGGAAAAAAUUAAGCACAUGGCAUAUUAGUUCGAUUGGUGGAAAAAAAAAUUAUUAAAAAUAGUAUAUUUCUAUUAUUACACUUGGGUAGGUUAGAAAUGGUAACAAAUAAAAGGCUUACGAAUAGAAAUCUUCUUAAAAAUACUUUUUUUUUCCUAUAGAUAAUCUCUUGUACAACAUAUUUAAAUUUUCAUUUACUACAGAAGAUUUCUAUUAUUACACAGGUUAGAAAUAGUGACAAAUAAUCUUCACCAAAAAAAAGAAAAGAAAAGAAACAAUUACUAACAUUGGAGAAGAGUCCCUUAAAAAAGUUCGCAAGUUCACUUGAAUUAUUGAUUCUGUAGAUUGAUACAAUGGCUUGUUCAUCUUUACUUUUACUUUUCUUUCCUAAAGAUAACCUCUUGCACAUCAUAUUUUUUUUUACAUCAAAAAAUAAGAACACAUUAAUACAUUUAGUAUAUUUUACGUGAAUUUUAUUUUAAUGUCACAUUGUAUCUUCAAUUUCAUUGUCAUCCUUAAACUUUUUUUGAUAGAGCAUCUUUCCAUUCUUUCUUAAAGGCAAAUUAUGUUGAAUUUUAUAUCAUUAAUAAUUGAGAUGGGUCAUUUUAUAAAUGAUUUUGAAAAUUAAUUUCUUUAAUCUUAUUAGAGAAAUUAAAUUGCUACUUUUCGAGGCGUUUGUUGCAGCAUAUUUGGCAUCUUGUUCAGUUUGCUUGACUCUUUAUUGUUGUUAUCUUUUGCUUUUUUAUUUUUAUAUAUUUUUUUAAGGACACAUUUCACAUUUCGAUUUGUAUUCUUUUAAUUUGAGACUGGAUUGUGUGUAUUAUCAGUCUGCAUUAUUUGGAUUUAUCUAUUUGUAUGGGUUUGAUGUAAUGGGGUUCACUUGUAGCCUUUUAAUUAAGGCUAAUUUGAUUUUUUCUCUUUUCAAUCAUAAAUAUGAUGUGUUACAAGGAUUUAUCUUUAUAUUUGUUGGAUUCUACUGAAAUAUGGUAGUUCUAGUUCUUUUUAUUUGUUCUGUCAUUCUUAGGGCAUGUUAAAAAUCUAUUCCUUAUAAGUCUACAAAAAUUGGCGUCUUCUUUUUGGGUCCUUCGUAGAAGUGGCUGAGUUUGAUAUAGUGAUAAGCUCUCUUUCCUCAUUGUUCUCUCCUGCAAUCAUAAGAACUAUACAAUUUUGGGCUUUUUAAAUUUUUUAUAAUACUUGGGCUGCUUUUCUUAGGCUUUGGGUUUCUGGACAGCCAUAAAUUCAACAUACCACCUGGGUAAAUUAACGAAGUAACCAUCAUUACGAGAGAAUAAUAAUACAGGUUUUUGCUUUUAUCCUGUUAUGAUUUUCAUGAGUUGGGCUUUCUUGGAACAACAUGGAUCGAACUUAUGUCUCUAGAAUUGCAUCAUGGUUUGAGCACUGAUUGACUUUUUUCUUUAUAAGCUGUUGAUGUCCAUUUUGUUGUUUUGUUUGUACAAUGUUGAUUAUUUUAAUCUUGAUCUGUCUAUAGCAGGGGAAACUCUUCUGCAACAAGUAUUUACAAAACUGUGUUGAUGACACUAGGUACUUACAAAACCAAAAGAUACAUAAAAAAGGCCAUCAUCCAGUGUUGGUCUGGCCAAAGUAGGAUUUUGGAAUGUGAGAUUUGGGUAUGGUCCUAACCUUCAGGAUAUUGCCUGAACAAUCUAAAUCUUGCAUGACUUGACAGCUUGAGACUUUUACAUAGGAAAGCUAAAAAUGUAAAGAAUCAUUGACUCUUAGAUCAUGGAGAUUGAGUUCCAUUAAAAAGCAAUCACACAGUCCAUUUUUUUUUUUUUUUUUAAACUUUUUGAAAAAGGACAGUCACAAUGGGGAGCAUUGCAGAGAUAUUGUGGGGAAAUACAAUUCGAUGACAAUAAUUUUGAAAGAAGUACGUAAAAGGUUACUAAAAGUUUAGCAUAAAUUCUGGUAUAAACAUAUAUAUGGGUCAAUGAAUGUCAUACUUAUGCUUUCUUAUUUGUCUGUGUUGGUCCCCUUUUUUUCCUUCUAUUUUUGCAGGAGUGCCCCUUGUCUUGGAGUUCUCUUCUGUCCAGCACUAAGUCUCUUUUAUUGUGUUAGAGGAAUCUGUUAAUGUUGGGAUAAAAUGGAGCAUGAACCCAAAAGCUCUCCCAAGGCUUGGUCAUAGUUUUUGGGAUAUACUAGUUGCUUUUCUUUCCAGACUUGCAAAAGCAAUAUCAAGAUUUUCAAUGGUCUUAUUUGUACUUUUGUCAAUGUUGUUUCCAAACCAUAUAUUUCUUAUCAUUCUUUUAUAUUAUUUUACUUUGUGUGUGCACCCUUUUUUUGUUUUAUUUCCCAACUGGCUUCUCCAUCUUUCUGCAAUUCCCAGUUCCGGUUGGCACCUAUUCUUCUCAUUCUGGUGAUGGAAUCUGAUAACUUAAUAGAGCAUGACCAUCUCCUACCUUAACACCUCCUUUUGGAUGCUGAAGGUACUAUGGCCUUGUUUGGCACUUGUGUUUUCUUCCCAUAGUGAGGGUCUAUGUUUUUCUUUUGUUUCUUUAUUAUUAUUUUUUUUUAUGGUGUUUUAUAAUUUUUUUUCUUUUGGUGGGCAUCUCCAGAUUGUGGGGAUAUCCAAUUUGGAGUCUCAUGGAAAGUGAUGCCAUUAUGUUGUUGGAUUUAUCUCACUUAAGUGCCAUGUGUACUAUCAAAUUGCCUUAUAAAGACAAGCGUUAUCCACAAAUUGUGUAAAUUUGAUUGAAGUGGAGAGAACUAAUAAUAUAUCAGUUCCCGUGGAUAAAUUUCUUGCUUUGGUUUACAAUUUGUGCUCCUUUGCAUUGAAUGAGUGGUGCACUUAUUCAGUUACCCUAUCAGUCCGAUAACGGAUUAAUUUGGUGUUCCGUUUGCUUUUUUCAGAGGCCUUUUAGGUUCCACUAUAUUGACUGAUAAUGUUUUUGGUCAUUAGAUCCUUAAGAGUUGUAUUGUGUUCAUGUGAAACUUUUUUUUUUUUUUUGCCUGAAUUCUUUUUAUCUGUUUUAUUUUUAUCUGUUUUAUGCAACGGCGUUGGUGUUCCUUCUUUCAUGCUUGCUUUAAUAUUUUAUUUUUUUAAUUCAGUAUAUGACUAUAUGUAGUUAUGCUAAAAUUUUAUGUCAAAGUUUUGCUAUAUUGAAAAAUUGAGAAUUCCUUGGAAAGUAUUUGUCUACAUCUCAAAACUGUGUGUAGUCACAAAAAAUGUCUACUCCUUAAAUUUUGGCACCAGGAAUGAAUAUCCUGGUUUUUGUUUAUUUUUGUAGAAUUCUUAAAUUGAGGCUUCUUUCUUUGGCUAAGCAUGAUGUAAUAGUAGUUAUGUUCAAAUUCUUGGUGUCAUGUACUUCAUUGGUUAUUUUUGAUUCUUGCAAUCUGUUUUUAUGAAUGUAGCACUUUAUCUUUCAUUGAUUCCCAGGUCCACUGAAGGUACAAUUUUGUGGUUAGUCUUUUGAAAGAUGGUUUUGGGGAAGUGAGAUUAGGUCUUGCAUAGUGGUGCUUUGGUUAGUUUUAGUAUUUAGCAAGAGACUUUUCCUUGCCCAUUUAUGUGGUAUAGUAUCUUUUGUUAGUGUUCUUUCUAUUGUCUUUUAACCUCAUAUGUGGUUAUGCUUUCUGAGGCACCAUUAUGUGCCAUGUUCUAUAAAUUCUGUGAUUUUAUUGUCUUAUUUUUUCUUUCAUUAUACAAAAUGGAUCAUCUUUUAUCUUGUAGAGACACAGCUCAGAAGUUCUAUUGGGACCUUGUCCGUAUUAGCUACCUUACUCUAUCUUCCAUACAUUAGUUCACAUCCCGGUGCUCUUUUGGGCUUAAAAUAGUAUUAAUUUUAUAUCUUCAUUUGUUUGAAUUUGUUCUUUGGAUCUGUUUCGUCUACUUUUGUAGGUGUUUCAAGCAGUGUUUUUAGAGCAGGUUUUGCAAGUUCUUAUCCAGGGUGCUUGGCAAGGUUGUAGAAAGUCAGUUCCUUUUUUGAUUCCCAAGUACUUGCAUUUUAUCAUAUCCUUAGUUAACUUAAGAUCAUCAGUUUCGUCUUUUUGCACUAUAACCAUAUGCUUUUUGGAGCUCAUCACUGGGCAAUCACAUAUGUAUGAGUUGCAUUCUUUAAACAUUACUGCUCUAAUUGUCAGGAAAGGAAGGUAUUGGUCUUGUUGAGAAUAGUUCUUCUGUCUUUUUUUUUGGCAACUGCUGCAAUUUGGAGUGUAUGUUAAAAUCUCAACACUAACAUGUGUACAGGAAGCAGAUUUUUUUUUUUUUUGGGUACUUGGUUGCUGAAGUGACCGAAUUUGAACAUUCGGUGAUGGUUUGAACUUUCAUUGUAUUCUUUUCCCUUUGUACUGCAAUCUUGUUUAAUUUUUGGUUAUUCUGUCUUGGAAAAGUAAUCUCUAGUUCAAAUUCAGUAAUGCCUAUUAUUGGAAUACAGGUAGAUUGAUGGUGGUGAUCGUGACCCAACUAUGGUUGCUGGGUUAGAAUAGUAUCGAUUAUGCUUUGCACUAUUGGGCUUUCUAGGAAUUAAAUGACUAACUUGUGUCUUUGGAUUUGAAUCAUAAUUCGAAAAUUAGCAUGUUAUUGAUUUAUUUACUAAUCAUAGGAUGUGAUUGAGCAGAUGCCAUCCAUCUCCAAGCAUGACUUCUUUAAGAGCUGGUGAUGUUUGUUUUGUAGUUUUAUGACAAGUACAUUCCUAGUUCCCACACAAUUCUUUGUUUCAUUUUUGCAAGCUCCUUUAUUAUUUGAAUGUCAUUAUUCUUUUUUUUUGUGUGGGGCAGGUAGAUUUACGCCAAUACUGUUGUUUCCAAGGAAGAAUUAUUCAGGUUAUUGGUUUGUCUUGUAAUUGGCAUUGGCUGGGCUUCUGGUGAAUUAAAUGCUUUUAAUUUGUGUCUUUGAAUUUUGCAUCAUUAUUCAUAAAAUUUGUAUAUGUUGCUGAUUGAUUUCCAAGUUAGAGAAAAUGAGUGAGCAGAUGCCAUCAAAACUUCUAUCAAUGUGGUUUGUACAGGUGGACUGUGUGGGGGGAUAUUUUGGGGUUUAUGGCUCCGUUACCCCAAUUCUUGUGUUUAAAUUUUUUUUUGCUGUAUAUUAACUUGGGUGACAAAGUUUGAUGGUGGACCUUAGGCAAUAAUCUCUCUUUAUAUCUUGAUUUCAUUAUUUUCUUUUCCUGUAAUUUGAAGUUUUAAGUAUUGGUGUUAGUUACGACAUAUGAGUUAGAAAAUAAAUUUGUUGGAUUGAAAUUGGGUUGAGAACAGGCUUCUAUUGCUUCUGUGUUUUAGUUUUUGUUUUUGAUCCUAAUACUCCUUAACUACUUGCUUGACCCUUCAAAGGUUCUUUGUUUUUUGUUAUAUAUAUUCUUUUCUUUCUUUGUAAUAUAAUAAUCCACAUUUUUAUUACUGGAGUUGGAUGGCUUCCCAGUCUCUGUUGUCAGGUUUUAUUUAAUUUAAGUGGUGUUGCAUUUGCGUUAGUUUUGCUAGGGUUGAUUUUGUUUUGUUGCUUCUCGAUGAAACAUGCCUUUGAGUAGUCUUGCUCUUUAUUAUUAUUUUUAUUUUUUAUUCUUUCUUAAAAAAAAAAAAAAUAUCUUAUAAUUUAAAGUUGUCCUAAACCAUGUAGCUGGAAUUGUGUGUUUCAGUUUGCUCAUGUAGGAGGUCAAUGCCUGCACCACGAAGGGUUUGAGCUUCCAUGUAGUAACUGUACGUUUGUCUUCUUGUCUUGUUGCUCUUGAUGUUUUCUUGCUUCUAGUGGAACCUGGUUAUAUUUUUUUAGCAGUUCUAUUUCUAGUUUGGAUUGUCACAUUGUCUGUAUGUAGGAAGCGAGAUAUUUGUUUUCUGGUGCUUCACAGCUUAAGCAGCUGAGUUUGAUUUGGCAAUAAACUCUCUUUUUCUUCCCUUUUUUUUCCUUUCCUUCAAGCAUACGAAUUUUAAGAAUACAUUUUAAAAAAAAAAAUUCUAUCUAAUACUUGGGUUUGUGACUGAAUUUCCUAGGUUUCAUUUUCGAGAAGGAUUGUAAUUCCCAGUCUAGCGAAGUGAGGGUUUGAAAUUUCUAUUGCAAUUCUUCCCCCUUUAUCUUGCUGUCUUAUUGUAUUUUUGGUCAUUAUGUGUUGGCAACCUCAAUAGUGAAUUCACAGCUUAAUCUGGCAAUGCCUCUUAUUUGUGUAGGCCAGAAUUAUAAUCUUAGUGUGACCUGAAUAUUGAAACUUGGGCUGUGUUGACUGCAACAUUAGAAAAAUCUUUUCUUUUCUUUUUUUUCCUUAAAUUUCACAUUUUGCUUAUAAGUCUUUUAAUAUGGUGUUUCAACUAAUGUGAUACUACGCUAUUCCUUGUUUGAUUUACUUAUAGGUUUUGGUCCUUGACAACUCUGUGAAGGCAUUCAUUUCUGUGAAGUUGGCUUUUCUUGAUCGAUUUGGUUCUUUUAUAUAGGAGCACAAUCCCUUAUUGUUGGCUGGCUGGUAACGAUGGGUUUAAAAAUUAAAUUAACAUCGUAAACGAAAAUUGGUGCUUGAAUUGUGUGUUUUUCCGGCUUCAUUUGUUUGGUUUUAACUUAUCCCAGCACUACUUGGCAUUUUUGUCGGGGUUCCUUUUUUUACUGCUGUCUACUUGCACUUCUUACUACUUGUAAAGAACCUAAGGUCAUCAAUAUCAUCAUCGGGCAUUCAUAUAAGAUAAAAUCAGCCAGCAUCAAACAUGGUUGUUUUGAAUGACAAAAAAGUAGAAGAUUUACCUUGUAAGGAAGAGUUCUUCUAGUCAUUUUUGCAAAUAUUGCAAUUCCUGGUGCAUUUGAAAAAUUCUCACUGGAUUUACUUUGUAAAAGAAAAUUGGUGCUUGCAUUGUAUGUAUUUCAGGCUUUAUUUGUGUGGUUUUAACUAACUUAAUACUUUCUUUUCUUCUAUUGUUAGCUGGUUGGUUAUGUGUAUAAAAUAUUAAAAUUCCCCAUUGAAAUGCCAAUUUGUGGAUUGUGUUUAUUUCAGGCUGCAUUUUUCCGGUUUCAACCAACUCCAGCUGUGUCCAACAUGUUUGUCAUGCUUCCAUUUUCUAUUGUCAUCAACUUUACUUAUCACAACUUUUCAGAACUUAAAAUCAUCAGUUUGUUAAAUUACAACCUAUGUAAUUUUGAGCUUGUUCAGUAUUGUGAUUUAUUUUCAUUUAGAAUUUAUUGGUGCUUUUCUUCUUAUUAUAACUUAAAAAAGCUUUUUUUUUUUUUUUUUUAUAAGUACCUUAAGAGGCUUAUAUUGACUAUAGUUAUUUAUCACUUAACCUUUUCCCUUUGUAUUUUAGAUCAACAAUAAUUUCCUCUUUAGCUUCUCAAAAAAGGGAGUAAUUUCCUCUUUACUAGUUGCUUGACUCUGUAUCCUAUUUAUCUUUUGCUCCUUUUUCACUUGAUCUCAUAAUUUGCUUAUGAGUCCUUUUAAUAUACCAUUUCCUCGAACUUGCUCCUGUUACUUGUUUGACUUAUGUUUUAGGUAUUGGUCCUUGGGAACUUUUUCCAAAUGUGUGUUGCUGCAAAGUCGGUUUUUCUAAUUCAAUUUUGUUCUCUCGAGCACAAAUAUGUAAAUUUUUAUUUCCCUUUAUUGUUGGUUGGCUUGGUAAUUAUGGCACUAAAAAAAUAAAGUAUUUUUAUGAAAGAAACAGGGUGCUUGGAUUGUGUUUCUUUCGGGCUGCGGUUGAGUGGUUUUAAACUAAUUACAGAAAUUCUUGGCAUGUGAACCUGUUCCCUUUCUCUACUGCCUUUUGCUUGCAUGUAUCGCAACUUUUUAGGACUUGAAAUCAUCAAUCUGGUCAUUCCGGAUUGCAAUCUCUAUUCUCUUUUGAUUCAUUAUUCUAAUCCUUACUGCUUACAAUUGAGGUUUAUUGUUUCUGCUUGUAUUUUUUUUUUUUAAGUUCAUCAGCCUGCAUUUCUUGGCAUUGGUUUCUGAAAGGAGUAGAUAGAUUUAAAUUUUCUUCUUCAUUUGAGUGGUGGAGGUUUAAGUUAGAUUAAGAUAUUUUUGAAUUCCUAUUCAAUGGGUGACUUGGGAUUUUGAUCAUGCUUCUUUUGGUAUUGGACAGGUAGAUUCCUCUUAUUGUUGUGGGGCAGGUUGAUCGAUGCCAAUGCAUUCGUUGCCAAGGGAGAAUUAUAUAGGUUAUUGGUUUGUUGUGUAAUUGGCAUUUGUUGGGUUUUUCUAUGAAUUAAAUGCUUUUAACUGUCUUUGAAUUUUGCAUCAUUAUUCAUAUAAUUUAUAUAUGCUGCUGAUUGAUUUCCAAGUCAGAGAAAAUGAGUGAGCAGAUGCCAUCAAGACUUCUUUAUAAGUUGGUGUUGUUUGUUUUGUGGUUUUGUGACAAGUACUUUCCUAGCUCCUACAUUUGUUUUGAAUGUUGAAACAAAAAUGUUUAAUUAUUUAAACUUGAUAUGUAUGCUGGAGGGGAAAUUGUGAUUUGGGCUUUCUUGUACUUGAGCAACAGAGUUUUUGUAAAAGUCUUGCUUAAAAAAUGGUGCUUGAGCUGUGUGAUUGAAUGCAACAAUUGAAAAUUCCUUUUAUUCUUUCAUCUUCGUUCUUCUCUUAUAAAUCUUUUGAUAUACUCUUCCUCGAAUGUGUUUACUAUUCCUGGUUGUUCAAUUUGUUUUGUAGAUUUCGGUGCUUGGCUACUUUUCAAGGCAUUUGUUGCAGCAAAUUUGGCAUCUAGUAGCCAGAUGCAUCCCAUGUUGAACCAAGUUUGUUAUCAGUCUGAAGAUUUCACAACUAUAUACUGCAGCAACAAAUUUUGUGUAACAUCUUAUGUCUUUAUCGUUCCUUUUCACCUUCUAUUAUUUGAAGUUUUUCCCUUGAAUAUGAUCCUGUUCCAUUUUAAUUUAUUUUAGUGAUUUUGGUACUUGGCAGUUUUUAAGGCAUUUGUUGCUGCAAAGUUGGUUUUAUAGAUUGAUCUGGUUUGUCUUCUCUAGUGGCACAAAGAAGUAAAUUUUCCUUUCUCUUAUUGUUGGGUGCUUGAUUCUUGUAUUGUGUGUAUUUCAGUCUGCAUUUCUGUAGUCUUAACUGAUUCCAGCACUGCUCAACAUGUUUGUUACUGCCAUCUACUUGAACUUAUUACAACUUUUUAGAAUUUAAGAUAAUUGAUUAUUUCAUUAUUCAUUAAAACCUCUUAUGGUUUUUGGAGCUUUGGUCGAUAUGGUGAUUUAUUGUCUUUGGGUAGUCGUGUAAGAUAGUUGUAGCUUGCUUUAAACAUGUCGGCUAUUUAAAUUCCUUUUAAGGUAUAGGUUUAUGCUUCCUUAUGAGUUGGGCUUUUUGGUAAUUAUAUGGAAAACUUGCGUCAUAAUUUGUAAUCUUAGGUUAUUGUCGAUUGAUUUCCUCAUCAUAGAAAGUGAGUGGGCUGAUCCUGUGAAUAUUGAACCAAGUUGUUAGUCUUCAGUCUUUGUUAUUCUGGACUAUUAUUUGAGCACUGAGUAACACAUGCGUCUUUAUAAGCUGGUGGUGCUCUCUUUGUGGUUUUUUGAAUACAAUGUUGAUAAUUUAAUUUUGAUUGCUUACAGGAGGUGAAAGUGAUUUUGACUUUCUUGUAUUUAUCUUGUAGAGAUGAGUUCUUCCUCUUUUUUUGUCUACAGGAAGCAAAUUUUUUUUGGACUUAAUGGCGGAAGUUUGAUUCUGCAAUAAGAUCUCUUUUCCUCUUGUUAGUGUCAGCCUGUGACAGUGUGAAACUUCCAGUGCAAUUCUUUUCCCUUUGUACAACAGUCUUGUUUAGUUUUGAUCAUUCUAUGUGGGACAACUCAUCUAUUAUUCAAAUGUGGAAACUCAUCUCUUACUUGUAUGGGAAAGGUUGAUUGAUGGUGAUAGUGACCCAAAUUUGGUUGUGGAGGUAGAAUAAUACAUGUUUUUGCUUUGUCCUGUGAUUGGCAGUGUUUGGCACUUUGGCUUUAUGUGAAUUAAACGGUUUUAAUUUGAGUCAUGGUAUUUGCAUCAUAAUUCAUAACAUUAGCACUGGUUCCCUUUUUAACUACCAUGCACUUAUCACAACUUUUUAGAACUUGAGAUUUCAAUCGUGAAUUUGGUCAUUUGCUCUACCUCUUAUGAGUUUUGGAGUUUUGGUCGGUAUGGUGAUUCUGUCAAGGGCUUGAAAUAGUCAGAACUUGAUUGGAGAUCAUUUGCUUGUAGUGGGUUGAUCCCAGAAGCAGUUAAGUCGAUUGCAGUGACAUUGUGACCAGAGGAUUUUAGCAGUGUCACAAGCUUGUACCAGGUCCAAGCUUGAAGGCAUGAACCAUGAAUUAGCACCAAGUGUUUGCCAGUUCUUGGUGGCUCCUUACUAGCCUCAAUUCCAAGAGAUGAAAGAAUGAUACAGAAAGAAAUUAACAUGAAAUGCUUCUUACUCAGCUUCCUAAGGAGUAAGGACACAAAUUUUUUAUGGGUUUUAUGAAGUUAUAGAGGUAGAACUAUGCAAUUUGACGUUUGACCAUAUAAUUUUGUUUCUCUUUGUUUGAAUUUGACUUUUGAGACCUCUAAUAAGGCUUUUUGAAAAUCUUGUCACAAAGUACACCAAGGUGAGCACUUGUCAAACAGGUUAGCAAGCACAAAUGAUUAAAUAUUUUUAAUUUCUUUGUGCAGUUCUCCAGUACACAAAUUAUCAUCAAUGUAUAAAGGGUAGGUUUUGACAAUGAUCAUUCUAAUGGGCUCCUCUAGCAAAGAGAGAAAGAAAGAAAGAAAUUAAAAAAAAAAAAAAAAAAAAAAAAAAAAAAAAAAAAAAAAAAACAUUCUAAUAGUCUCACGUUUUCUCAAUAACAUAAAAUAUCAUGCAAGUUAAAACUUUUGACUCUUAGAAAAGAUUUUAAAAGUCAUAGCAAGCAAGUGCGGCUUCUUGAAUAUGUUUAUUUUUUGAAUUGGUAGAUGACAACAUUUUGUAACUUUUAAUGACAUUUUCAGGUUUAAAACCACCCCUCCUUCACUUAUAUAUAUAAAAAGAAAGAUAUUGGGCAUACUAUAAUCUGUAUUCAAUGUCAUGUUUGUUUGUAAGAUUACAUUUUUUUUCUCUUAUUAUAUCUCAUAUUUGGAAUUGAGUUUGAUGCUAAAAGAAAAUAUAUUAUUUCUAUUAAUAAAACUUGUGGAGAACAAGAAUCUAGCUAAAUAAUUAUUUUUGUAUUAUAUAUGCCAUUCAAAAAUGUUAGACUAUAGUUUCAAUGAAUUUACCAUGAUUUAUAAUUUAUAUUUUGUUUCUCAUUAUUUUUUGGAGGAAAAAAAUGACUUGAUAUUGUAUUUAUAAAUGUAACGAUAAUUUGAGAAAAAUAAAUAAUUACUAUAAGAUUCUUAAGAAUAAAAAUAAACCAAACAUAGCAAUUUCAUAUUCCUGUGAAUCUUAUUAAAUUCCUAUUAGGGGCUGUUCUUCGCAGUUGGUCACGUGUUAUCCAUUGGAGGAGUGACCUUGCUAGACCCAAAUAUGUUUGGGAGUUGUGUCCGUAACUCGACAUUGAACCACGUAAUCCAAUGACUUCCGACGUAUUUUUAGGCCUAUAAAAUGGGUAAAGUCCGAAGUCUAAGAAUCAUGAUAAUGGUUGAAUAAAUAAAUAAUAUGUGUUUGAUAUAAUAACUUUGAUUAAUAGUUGUAAUAGUAGUUGAAAUAAAGUAAUAUUUAUUUAAAUUUGAAGUAAUCAUGUAUUCAAUAAUGUAGAGUUAGAAAUAUGGAAACGUAGUGACUUAUCUUUGUAUGGUUUGCAGCUCCAACUGUAUAGCAUCAGUGAGUUGAUAGUAUUCUAUAUUCUAGUAGAAUGACUCUAGUGGUGAAGAGGCGGUAUGCCACGAUAAGAUGACUUCAAGAUUGAAGUAGAAAAAUGGAUGCAACUAGAAGGAGAAAGAGUAUAUCCAACUGUGUGUAGAGGCUGGUUAAGUUUGUCCCCUUAGUAAUGCUCUUUUAGUUAUUGUGAAGUUAUGAAUAAUAUUGCCUUCCAUGGAAAGGACUUUUGUAAGGUAGGUUAUAAGCUAGUCAUAAAUAGUAAAUACACAUGAAUGGAACACGAUUUUCAUUAAUAAGCUAGUCAUAAGGUAGGUUAUCAGCAGAGAUUGAUUUGA
Long non-coding RNA from Quercus robur (English oak), 18740 nucleotides. RefSeq lists it as uncharacterized. NCBI's taxonomy places the organism in Eukaryota, Viridiplantae, Streptophyta, Magnoliopsida, Fagales, Fagaceae. The transcript is spliced from 3 exons. The record is from RefSeq and is a predicted model, not a curated record.